This 439-nucleotide ribosomal RNA is filed under the name uncultured bacterium. Its description in RNAcentral is "partial 16S ribosomal RNA". It matches the Rfam family "Bacterial small subunit ribosomal RNA", at positions 338 to 795 of the family's 1533-position model. The record is from RNAcentral.
CCUACGGGAGGCAGCAGUAGGGAAUAUUGCACAAUGGGGGAAACCCUGAAGCAGCAACGCCGCGUGGAGGAUGACGGUUUUAGGAUUGUCAACUCCUUUUGUGAGAGAAGAUAAUGACGGUAUCUCACGAAUAAGCACCGGCUAACUCCGUGCCAGCAGCCGCGGUAAUACGGAGGUUGCGAGCGUUAUCCGGAUUUAUUGGGUGUAAAGGGUGCGCAGGCGGAGGUGCAAGUCAGCGGUCAAAUUGCGGGGCUCAACCCCGUACUGCCGUUGAUACUGCAUCCCUUGAGUGCGCGAGAAGUAUGCGGAAUGCGAGGUGUAGCGGUGAAAUGCAUAGAUAUCAGGCAGAACACCAAUUGCGAAGGCAGCAUACCGGCGCUAAACUGACGCUGAGGCACGAAAGUGUGGGUAGCGAACAGGAUUAGAUACCCCAGUAGUC